AACAUACUUAUGGACUUAUUCUUAGCCGAAUUCCCGAAAAAUUUCCGAGGCAAUGCAGAAGUAUUCGAAUUUGCACGUGAAGUAUCAGAGCUUGUGGCAACAGUUUUAUUCUUCAGGGAGGAUUUGUACUCCAACAUUGGAAACUCUAGUUUUGCAGAAGCCUCAACGACAGAAGGAACUACCAUUGAUUAUGAUUACAAUGAUGAUAAUGAAACUUUGAGCACUUUGGAACCAGGAGGUGAAAAAGAUGGGACAUUGUGUGAAAUUUGCAAUGAAGUUGUUCAAAGAGUCAAGCCUUACAUCCAAAUUCCAAUUUUACAACAAUUCUUACAUUCUGAAAUUGAUGAGUCCUGCUAUCAUAUCCAACCUCUUCUCUUUUCAAAGCAUGCUUCAUGAAACUGCAUUGUAUGACAUAAGCGGACGUUUGGAUGACAUUUGUACUUUAUCUGAACCUCAGUUCUGUCCUUCAAACUCAGCUCCUUAUAGUUCAAUCAGUGACAGCAGUAAGUGGCACAGCAUGGAGGACCUUCGAGAUAUUGACAAAGAAGAUCAGUCAAAUCUAAAAAACGCAGCAAAAGAUGAAACUAGUACAGAAUUUGACAGUAAAAAAGAAGCACUAGUUCCUGUUUUACCCCAAAACAUGGCACUGGUGCCUUUUAUGCCCCGUGAGGCAAAAAAAUUCUCUCCAGCCCCGCAUCAAAUCAAAGACAGCGCAAUCAUCUCUGACUUUGUACCAGCAGCAGCUGAGCCUGUCCUGGACUGUGCAAUUUGCAAUGAAAUAUGGAGAAAAUUCAGCCCAACAUCCAAGGCUCCAAAAACUUAGAAGAAAUCAAAGAUCUCAUAAUGCGAGCAUGCUUUUCAAUGGUACCCUCGCAUUUCUCUCAGGUGAGAAGUUUCAUCCCUAAGUAGUAAUUAUUUUAUUUGCAAGAGCUAAUAUUCAACACUUUUUCAAAAGUAUUUAUUUCUAUUGUAAGUAGAGCUGCUGACAAGCAAUGGUAUCAAAGUUCUGGACUUUUUUAUCUAGAGAUGUAAGCAAUCUGAAACUGGA
Molecule: long non-coding RNA, 1048 nt
Filed under: Bemisia tabaci
Lineage: Eukaryota; Metazoa; Arthropoda; Insecta; Hemiptera; Aleyrodidae
Description: lncRNA ENSSSA1NGG005814
Source: RNAcentral